RNAcentral lists this ribosomal RNA (292 nucleotides) under uncultured bacterium. RNAcentral describes it as "partial 16S ribosomal RNA". It matches the Rfam family "Bacterial small subunit ribosomal RNA", at positions 505 to 796 of the family's 1533-position model. The record is from RNAcentral.
GUGUCAGCAGCCGCGGUAAUACGGAGGAUCCAAGCGUUAUCCGGAAUCAUUGGGUUUAAAGGGUCCGUAGGCGGUCAGAUAAGUCAGUGGUGAAAGCCCAUCGCUCAACGGUGGAACGGCCAUUGAUACUGUCUGACUUGAAUUAUUAGGAAGUAACUAGAAUAUGUAGUGUAGCGGUGAAAUGCUUAGAGAUUACAUGGAAUACCAAUUGCGAAGGCAGGUUACUACUAAUGGAUUGACGCUGAUGGACGAAAGCGUGGGUAGCGAACAGGAUUAGAUACCCUCGUAGUCC